Molecule: long non-coding RNA, 797 nt
Organism: Pocillopora damicornis (cauliflower coral)
Lineage: Eukaryota; Metazoa; Cnidaria; Anthozoa; Scleractinia; Pocilloporidae
Source: RefSeq, a predicted model, not a curated record
CCUCCUCCUAAUAUGUCACCUAUGGAAUUUUUUCGCAAAGUUCCACCGCCUAAUAUCCGUCCGCAGACUCAUCCAAUGAUUCCUGAGCAGCUACAGCCAAAUCCACUUAUACCGCCACCUCAGCAAGUACCUCCUCCACCCCUUCAGAGUAGUCAAUCGCAGUUCUUUCCACUCAGUCAACCUACCCCCUCUUACACUCGGCUUCCUCCUCUGCCACCUUUUCAAGCCAAUGUUACGACUCCACCACUAACACAGUUUUCACACUCCAACCCUAACCCUAUUCAAGAGCAAUUUCCUCAAAGCAUCUAGGCUGCUUUUCCACCAGAGCAGAAUCAGUUUCAGUUUAAUACACCCCCUCCAAACCUCAACAUCGCGGCCGCUCAACAGGGGAAUUAAGCCGGAAAUAUACUAUGGCCUCUACAGCAGGUGACUGAUCCAACAGAAAGUGUACCACACCCCGAGUUGGGGUCGCUCUCUGUUCAAACUGGAGCUGUGACGCCAUCGAUGUCCGAUGCCUUUGAAUGCAGAGAGGGCUUUCCUUCAAAUUCAGAACCGUGCACGCCAUCACCUGUGAAACACAAACCACCGGGGCAUCUCCCUCCACAUUGGAAAUCAGCCACCGAUAGCCAAGGAAAAGUCUACUACUAUCAUGCCCUAACAAGUGGGAUGUUCCAAGCUGGGACAGCAGCCCCUCAUCAGAGGAAGAACACCCUUAUGUUGUCCCAGAACCUGAUCAUACAAGUAUUUCAGCUCACAGCUACGUUGAUAUGGACGAGGAUUCACCACCAAACCAAAAA